AGGUACAAUAAAGCUUCGAGGUUGACAUAAAGGAGCUCAUCGCUGAUGUGGCUCCCUGGUUUGGCCGACCUGCGCCUCCACGUGGACUAUUACAUUUGCUGGUCAAUGGCCUCCUCACACGGCCUCCUACUUUUCUUCCUGUUGAUGGUCGCUGCACCUCCAGCAGCUUAAAACUGUGAUUGCAUUCCAUUGGGUGUAGCUGGAUGCUGUUAGAUUUGCUGAUGAAAGACUUCUGGAUUAUUCAUAUUGGACCAAGGUACUUGCUGUUAGAAGCUACAUGUUUGAUGUUUAUUAUUGAUCAUAUGCUGGGGGUAACUUGAACAUUUCUCAAUGAUGAUAAUUGGCCAAGUUAGAGGAAGGUUCUUUAGAUACAAGAAUACCAAGAUGAAGCGUGUUGGUCGUGCUGUCCACUGGACUGCCGGCGUACACUAAGGCUUCCUGCCCCUGCCUUCUUCGACUGUGACCUCUCCUACUGCGGUAGCCUUCUUCUUCGACUCCUUGUGUUCAGGCGAUGCAAGUUUUAGAAGGCUGGUAGCAUCGAAGCCAUGACCUGCAGGUGGAGGGUGGAAGAACAGCUAGCGAAAGCUGAACUCCUCUUGCUUGCGAAACCAAUUGAAUACCUGGGUUGUACUGGUCGUGGACUGUUAUUUGUGACUCCAAAUCUGGAAUGUUGGGUGGUAGUCGACGAAGUACAUCGUUUUUGUGAUGCUCCAGACUUGUGAUGGAGUUGGGUUGUCCUGUUGCACUUUUAUUGAUUAUUGUUUGGAUUAUGAUCUGAUUAUCCCCAAAA
Molecule: long non-coding RNA, 790 nt
Organism: Lolium perenne
Lineage: Eukaryota; Viridiplantae; Streptophyta; Magnoliopsida; Poales; Poaceae
Source: RefSeq, a predicted model, not a curated record